RNAcentral lists this ribosomal RNA (490 nucleotides) under uncultured bacterium. RNAcentral's name for it is "bacterial SSU rRNA". It matches the Rfam family "Bacterial small subunit ribosomal RNA", at positions 30 to 507 of the family's 1533-position model. The record is from RNAcentral.
AUUGAACGCUGGCGGCAGGCUUUAACACAUGCAAGUCGAGCGGGGAAGGGUAGCUUGCUACCUGACCUAGCGGCGGACGGGUGAGUAAUGCUUAGGAAUCUGCCUAUUAGUGGGGGACAACAUUCCGAAAGGAAUGCUAAUACCGCAUACGCCCUACGGGGGGGGAAAAGCAGGGGAUCUUCGGACCUUGCGCUAAUAGAUGAGCCUAAGUCAGAUUAGCUAGUUGGUGGGGUAAAGGCCUACCAAGGCGACGAUCUGUAGCGGGUCUGAGAGGAUGAUCCGCCACACUGGGACUGAGACACGGCCCAGACUCCUACGGGAGGCAGCAGUGGGGAAUAUUGGACAAUGGGCGAAAGCCUGAUCCAGACAUGCCGCGUGUGUGAAGAAGGCCUUUUGGUUGUAAAGCACUUUAAGCGAGGAGGAGGCUACUUAGAUUAAUACUCUAGGAUAGUGGACGUUACUCGCAGAAUAAGCACCGGCUAACUCUGUG